AGAGUUUGAUCCUGGCUCAGAAUCAACGCUGGCGGCGCGCUUAACACAUGCAAGUCGCACGAGAAAGGGGGCAACCCUGAGUACAGUGGCGUACGGGUGAGUAACACGUGGGUAAUCUACCUCUGAGUGGGGAAUAACCCUGGGAAACCGGGGCUAAUACCGCAUAAUCUCGAGAGAGGAAAGCAGCAAUGCGCUGAGAGAGGAGCCCGCGGCCGAUUAGCUAGUUGGGAGGGUAAAAGCCUACCAAGGCAAAGAUCGGUAGCCGGCCUGAGAGGGCACACGGCCACACUGGCACUGAAACACGGGCCAGACUCCUACGGGAGGCAGCAGUGGGGAAUCUUGCACAAUGGGGGAAACCCUGAUGCAGCGACGCCGCGUGAGCGAUGAAGCCCUUCGGGGUGUAAAGCUCUUUCGUCAGGGAAGAUGAUGACGGUACCUGGAGAAGCAGCUGCGGCUAACUACGUGCCAGCAGCCGCGGUAAUACGUAGGCAGCGAGCGUUGUUCGGAGUUACUGGGCGUAAAGGGUGUGUAGGCGGUUCUUUAAGUUUGGUGUGAAAUCUCCCGGCUCAACCGGGAGGGUGCGCCGAAUACUGAGGGACUCGAGUGCGGGAGAGGAAAGUGGAAUUCCUGGUGUAGCGGUGAAAUGCGUAGAUAUCAGGAGGAACACCGGUGGUGUAGACGGCUUUCUGGACCGUAACUGACGCUGAGACACGAAAGCGUGGGUAGCAAACAGGAUUAGAUACCCUGGUAGUCCACGCCCUAAACGAUGCAUAUUUGGUGUGGGUCAUUCAGUUGAUCCGUGCCGGAGCUAACGCG
This 816-nucleotide ribosomal RNA is filed under the name uncultured bacterium. RNAcentral describes it as "bacterial SSU rRNA". It matches the Rfam family "Bacterial small subunit ribosomal RNA", at positions 8 to 859 of the family's 1533-position model. The record is from RNAcentral.